This 468-nucleotide ribosomal RNA is filed under the name uncultured bacterium. RNAcentral's name for it is "partial 16S ribosomal RNA". It matches the Rfam family "Bacterial small subunit ribosomal RNA", at positions 28 to 507 of the family's 1533-position model. The record is from RNAcentral.
GACGAACGCUGGCGGCGUGCUUAACACAUGCAAGUCGAACGGAAAGGCCCUGCUUUUGUGGGGUGCUCGAGUGGCGAACGGGUGAGUAACACGUGAGUAACCUGCCCUUGACUUUGGGAUAACUUCAGGAAACUGGGGCUAAUACCGGAUAGGAGCUCCUGCUGCAUGGUGGGGGUUGGAAAGUUUCGGCGGUUGGGGAUGGACUCGCGGCUUAUCAGCUUGUUGGUGGGGUAGUGGCUUACCAAGGCUUUGACGGGUAGCCGGCCUGGGAGGGUGACCGGCCACAUUGGGACUGAGAUACGGCCCAGACUCCUACGGGAGGCAGCAGUGGGGAAUAUUGCGCAACGGGCGGAAGCCUGAUGCAGCAACGCCGCGUGCGGGAUGACGGCCUUCGGGUUGUAAACCGCUUUCGCCUGUGACGAAGCGUGAGUGACGGUAAUGGGUAAAGAAGCACCGGCUAACUACGUG